UACGAAGGGACCUAGCGUAGUUCGGAAUUACUGGCCUUAAAGAGUUCGUAGGUGGUUGAAAAAGUUGGUGGUGAAAUCCCAGAGCUUAACUCUGGAACUGCCAUCAAAACUUUUCAGCUAGAGUAUGAUAGAGGAAAGCAGAAUUUCUAGUGUAGAGGUGAAAUUCGUAGAUAUUAGAAAGAAUACCAAUUGCGAAGGCAGCUUUCUGGAUCAUUACUGACACUGAGGAACGAAAGCAUGGGUAGCGAGGAGGAUUAGAUACCCUCGUAGUCCAUGCCGUAAACGAUGUGUGUUAGACGUUGGAAAUUUAUUUUCAGUGUCGCAGCGAAAGCGAUAAACACACCGCCUGGGGAGUACGACCGCAAGGUUAAAACUCAAAUGAAUUGACGGGGACCCGCACAAGUAGUGGAGCAUGUGGUUUAAUUCGAAGAUACGCGCAGAACCUUACCAACACUUGACAUGUUCGUCGCGACUCUAAGAGAUUAGAGUUUUCGGUUCGGCCGGACGAAACACAGGUGCUGCAUGGCUGUCGUCAGCUCGUGUCGUGAGAUGUUGGGUUAAGUCCCGCAACGAGCGCAACCCUCACUUUUAGUUGCCAUCAUUAAGUUGGGCACUCUGAAAGAACUGCCAGUGAUAAGCUGGAGGAAGGUGGGGAUGACGUCAAGUCCUCAUGGCCCUUACGUGUUGGGCUACACACGUGCUACAAUGGUAUCUACAACAGGAAGUAAGACUGCGAAGUUAAGCAAAUCCCUAAAAGAUACCUCAGUUCGGAUUACACUCUGCAACUCGAGUGCAUGAAGCUGGAAUUACUAGUAAUCGUGGAUCAGCGUGCCACGGUGAAUGCGUUCCCGGGUCU
Molecule: ribosomal RNA, 856 nt
Filed under: uncultured bacterium
Lineage: Bacteria
Description: SSU rRNA
Rfam family: Bacterial small subunit ribosomal RNA
Source: RNAcentral